Molecule: ribosomal RNA, 396 nt
Filed under: uncultured Alphaproteobacteria bacterium
Lineage: Bacteria; Pseudomonadati; Pseudomonadota; Alphaproteobacteria
Description: bacterial SSU rRNA
Rfam family: Bacterial small subunit ribosomal RNA
Source: RNAcentral
GCAAGUCGAGGGAGAAGCUGACUUCGGUCAGUGGGCACCGGCGCACGGGUGAGUAACGCGUGGAAACCUACCCCGGGGUGGGGGAUAACCGCUGGAAACGGCGGCUAAUACCGCAUACGCCUUUUAAGGGAAAGAUUUAUCGCCCUGGGAUGGGUCCGCGUUAGAUUAGGUAGUUGGUGGGGUAAAGGCCUGCCAAGCCGACGAUCUAUAGCUGGUCUGAGAGGAUGAUCAGCCACACUGGGACUGAGACGCGGCCCAGGCUCCUACGGGAGGCAGCAGUGGGGAAUCUUGGACAAUGGGGGCAACCCUGAUCCAGCCAUGCCGCGUGAGUGAAGAAGGCCUUAGGGUUGUAAAGCUCUUUCAACGGUGAAGAUGAUGACUGUAGCCGUAGAAGAA